Molecule: long non-coding RNA, 673 nt
Organism: Tyto alba (common barn owl)
Lineage: Eukaryota; Metazoa; Chordata; Aves; Strigiformes; Tytonidae
Exons: 2
Source: RefSeq, a predicted model, not a curated record
UUGUCCCAGCCCGCCGGGCGCUCCCGGCUCUGGCCUCGGGGCUCCGCGGAGCCGCUGCUGUUAACGUGCUCGGGGAAAAAACAUCCACGGCGCUCCUGCUCCGUGGGCAUAAACCUUCGAUGUUUUGGAGGGGGAAAUCCUCGCUUGCUAGCACCAAGGCCCGGCGGGGUGUCACGGCGGGGAUUAGAGAGGAGCUGGAGGGAAGGAGGAAGGCUGGAGGCAUGCGUGGCCGUGACACCGGCUCUGCCCUAAAAUCACCCGUGACGGACGCGCGGGCGGUGCGUGCGCCCAGCAGAAAUACCGCCGUCGGACCGGGCGAGCGAGGUCUCCGUCCCACUUCGCUGCUCUUGCGACAGAACACGACGCUUGCUCAUCCUCCGUGAGCUCUCCGUGGGGACUGCGGCGACUCUUUUCCUGCUCUGCGUUGGUUAAAAAAAAAAAAAAAAAAAAAAAAAAAAAAAGAAGAAAAAAGAAAAUAACGAAAAUUACCUAGCUCGAAGACGGACAGUGUUCGGUGUCACCCAAAAGACGGAUCGUCUUUUGCGUACAAAACCCGUGGCAAAAAGUGAACUCUUUUAAUAGCGCUUUAACUGAUGGUGUAAAAAUUGUCUGGUGGUGGAAAGUAGUAAAUAGCGGUAAUAAAGGAUAGAUCCAAACUAUGAACCGUGAAUAA